Molecule: RNase MRP RNA, 487 nt
Rfam family: RNase MRP
About the family: RNase MRP is an enzymatically active ribonucleoprotein with two distinct roles in eukaryotes. In mitochondria it plays a direct role in the initiation of mitochondrial DNA replication. In the nucleus it is involved in precursor rRNA processing, where it cleaves the internal transcribed spacer 1 between 18S and 5.8S rRNAs.
UCCUCGCUCGAAGAAUCGCAUUCAAAGCUUACGCACAGGAGAAAGGCUAGUAACCCUUCAAAAGGUUACUUUCUUUUCUUCAAACCAUCAUCACUCUCUAGCUUUGGGAGAAAGUCCCCGGACACCCUGCGCCCUCGCCGUAAAACCGUGAGGGUUCCCUAUGUUUUUUUUAUAAAACAAGCCAGGCAAUGCGGAAACGCGCCGCCAUAGAAGCAUUUUACAUUGCGGCUUAAGCCUUUUCCCUUUCCCUUUUCUUCUCUUUUGAGGAGAGAGGGGCUCGCCUCAUUUUUCUAGCCCGACUCUUGGCUUCUUUUUGUUCGCCAGAGGAAACAAUGGUGGUUAGAUGGGGUGGGGGGGGUUUUCUCCCGAGGGAUAGGUUGCUCUUCGUCGUGGUUCGAUAGUCAUGCGAUUGCUUUGGUUUCUACGUGUAAUUUUAUUAUAUGUUGUGAAUCAAAGUAACUCGAUGGGGCUUAUUCUUGAGGCGAGG